Molecule: ribosomal RNA, 301 nt
Filed under: uncultured bacterium
Lineage: Bacteria
Description: partial 16S ribosomal RNA
Rfam family: Bacterial small subunit ribosomal RNA
Source: RNAcentral
CAGCCGCCACGGUAACACGUAGGGUGCAAGCGUUAAUCGGAAUUACUGGGCGUAAAGCGUGCGCAGGCGGUUCGUUAAGACAGAUGUGAAAUCCCCGGGCUUAACCUGGGAACUGCAUUUGUGACUGGCGGGCUAGAGUAUGGCAGAGGGGGGUAGAAUUCCACGUGUAGCAGUGAAAUGCGUAGAGAUGUGGAGGAAUACCGAUGGCAAAGGCAGCCCCCUGGGCCAAUACUGACGCUCAUGCACGAAAGCGUGGGGAGCAAACAGGAUUAGAGACCCGAGUAGUCCCUGUCUCUUAUAC